GUCUCUGUAGCGCUAUGAAAAGUGUGUGUGAGAGUUGGACUUCUAAUCCAAAAGUCGUGGGUUGGAAUUCCACUUGGGACG
Molecule: non-coding RNA, 81 nt
Organism: Trichonephila clavipes
Lineage: Eukaryota; Metazoa; Arthropoda; Arachnida; Araneae; Nephilidae
Source: the annotation of a GenBank genome assembly